Molecule: unclassified non-coding RNA, 385 nt
Filed under: Hevea brasiliensis (rubber tree)
Lineage: Eukaryota; Viridiplantae; Streptophyta; Magnoliopsida; Malpighiales; Euphorbiaceae
Source: RNAcentral
UAUUGUUUACACCAAAAAUAUCCACCAGGCUAGGAGCAGGCACUGCAUAGCUUGUCAGUUUCUGCAUCGAAAAUCAACUCUCUUGCAACACGUAGAAGCUGAAAUUCUAGCAUGGAUUUCUUUGCAGUGGCACUACCUGUUAAAGCAAAGUGUUUGAUGGAACGUGUAAAUUUGAUUGGAAGAAAAUGAUUAGAUGUCAAUCUUUCCAUCCUCCAGUUUAGAAGCAAUUGUCGACAUCAACAUCUAUGAACAACUUCUUUCAGGUGAGUUUGGCAUCCACAGCUUGUCAGUUUCUGUUCAGAAAACCAUUUCUCUUGCAAAGUGUAGAAGCGAAAAAAAAGGAAUGUGAACAGAAGUAAAAACUCGUGGAAGAAGUUGAUCAAUG